RNAcentral lists this ribosomal RNA (500 nucleotides) under uncultured Glomeromycotina. Its description in RNAcentral is "partial small subunit ribosomal RNA". It matches the Rfam family "Eukaryotic small subunit ribosomal RNA", at positions 591 to 1092 of the family's 1831-position model. The record is from RNAcentral. Lineage: Eukaryota; Fungi; Glomeromycota.
CCAAUAGCGUAUAUUAAAGUUGUUGCAGUUAAAAAGCUCGUAGUUGAAUUUCGGGGUCAGUAGGCUGGUCGUGCCACAGGUAUGUACUGGUCUUACUGAUUCCUCCUUCCUGAUGAACCGUGAUGCCAUUAAUUUGGUGUUGCGGGGAAUCUGGACUGUUACUUUGAAAAAAUUAGAGUGUUUAAAGCAGGCUAACGCUUGAAUACAUUAGCAUGGAAUAAUGAAAUAGGACGAUCGAUCCUAUUUUGUUGGUUUCUAGGAUUGACGUAAUGAUUAAUAGGGAUAGUUGGGGGCAUUAGUAUUCAAUUGUCAGAGGUGAAAUUCUUGGAUUUAUUGAAGACUAACUACUGCGAAAGCAUUUGCCAAGGAUGUUUUCAUUAAUCAAGAACGAAAGUUAGGGGAUCGAAGACGAUCAGAUACCGUCGUAGUCUUAACCAUAAACUAUGCCGACUAGGGAUCGGAUGAUGUUAAUUUUUUAAUGACUCAUUCGGCGCCUUACG